UGAUCUCCACCCUCCUGAUUUGGAUCGCUUAGACGGAUAGCCCCUUUAAUCCACAUAACCUUCCAGCACUUCAUCAUCAUCCCUGACCAGAAGAGGAGUGAUAGCUUCCAAGUUUCUGCUUCCCUUAGCUGUGGAGAUCGCCAUGUGAACUCAACUUAACUAUCUUACAAAUCAAACCACGAAUAGUGUAACCUUAUUCCUACAUAUGCAUGUAUGCUCUUGAUCAAAUAUCCCAAACUGUUUCUAUUUACUAAUAUGCUGCAUGUGUUUUCCUUUCUACUUACAAAUUUCUAGAUGGGGAAAGGAAGUGAAGUGAACAU
RNAcentral lists this long non-coding RNA (320 nucleotides) under Coffea arabica (coffee). RNAcentral describes it as "long non-coding RNA (CARA_LNC006784)". Lineage: Eukaryota; Viridiplantae; Streptophyta; Magnoliopsida; Gentianales; Rubiaceae. The record is from RNAcentral.